Molecule: transfer RNA, 56 nt
Filed under: Listeria monocytogenes
Lineage: Bacteria; Bacillati; Bacillota; Bacilli; Caryophanales; Listeriaceae
Description: tRNA-Val
Rfam family: tRNA
About the family: Transfer RNA (tRNA) molecules are approximately 80 nucleotides in length.
Source: RNAcentral
UAGCUCAGCUGGGAGAGCAUCUGCCUUACAAGCAGAGGGUCAGCGGUUCGAUCCCG